This 805-nucleotide ribosomal RNA is filed under the name uncultured euryarchaeote. Its description in RNAcentral is "bacterial SSU rRNA". It matches the Rfam family "Archaeal small subunit ribosomal RNA", at positions 52 to 859 of the family's 1478-position model. Lineage: Archaea; Methanobacteriati; Methanobacteriota. The record is from RNAcentral.
UGCUAGUCGCGCGGGUUCAGACCCGCGGCAUAUAGCUCAGUAACACGUGGCCAAACUACCCUAUGGACAGGGACAACCUCGGGAAACUGAGGCUAAUCCCUGAUACAGCUCUCACGCUGGAGUGCCGAGAGCUGGAAACGCCCCGGCGCCAUAGGAUGUGGCUGCGGCCGAUUAGGUAGAUGGUGGGGUAAUGGCCCACCAUGCCGAUAAUCGGUACAGGUUGUGAGAGCAAGAGCCUGGAGACGGUAUCUGAGACAAGAUACCGGGCCCUACGGGGCGCAGCAGGCGCGAAACCUUUACACUGCACGACAGUGCGAUAAGGGGACUCCGAGUGCGAGGGCAUAUAGUCCUCGCUUUUCUGUACCGUAGGGAGGUACAGGAACAAGUGCUGGGCAAGACCGGUGCCAGCCGCCGCGGUAAUACCGGCAGCACGAGUGAUGACCGAUAUUAUUGGGCCUAAAGCGUCCGUAGCUGGCCAGACAAGUCCAUUGGGAAAUCCACGCGCUCAACGCGUGGGCGUCCGGUGGAAACUGUUUGGCUUGGGGCCAGAAGACCUGAGGGGUACGUCCGGGAUAGGAGUGAAAUCCCGUAAUCCUGGACGGACCACCGAUGGGGAAACCACCUCAGGAGGAUGGACCCGACAGUGAGGGACGAAAGCUAGGGUCUCGAACCGGAUUAGAUACCCGGGUAGUCCUAGCUGUAAACGAUGCUUGCUAGGUGUGCCGUAGCUACGAGCCUGCGCUGCGCCAUAGGGAAGCCGAGAAGCAAGCCGCCUGGGAAGUACGUCCGCAAGGAUGAAACUUAA